CCCUUAGAUGUCCUGGGCCGCACGCGUGCUACACUGACGGAUACAACAAGUUUGCUCUUUUACCUGGACUGAAAAGUUUGGGAAAUCUAGCAAUGUCCGUCGUGAUGGGGAUCGACCCUUGCAAUUUGGUCGUGAACGAGGAAUUCCUUGUAAGCGCGAGUCAUCAUCUCGCGUUGAAUACGUCCCUGCCCUUUGUACACACCGCCCGUCGCUCCUACCGAUGGAUGGUCCGGUGAAAUCUUCGGAUGCUCCUUUUUUUGUUUGAAUGAUCUUCGGGUCUUUUGACAGGGAACAGAAGUUGAUUAAACUUUAUCAUCUAGAGGAAGGAGAAGUCGUAACA
RNAcentral lists this ribosomal RNA (340 nucleotides) under uncultured eukaryote. Its description in RNAcentral is "partial 18S ribosomal RNA". It matches the Rfam family "Eukaryotic small subunit ribosomal RNA", at positions 1470 to 1796 of the family's 1831-position model. The record is from RNAcentral.